AUUGUUCGAACAGCUUGACCCUCACUUGCACAGAUUUUGAAUUUUGCUUGAUGUGCUAAUUGUCACUUGGUAAUCUUUCUUGAAUAGUUUGGACAACUUGGCGUUGGUGAUAAUGUUGAUCACUGCUCUCCAGUUCAAGUAAAAUUCCCUCAGGACCAGAAGGUUAUCCAGACGUCUUGUGGAUGGAGGCAUACUCUUGCUUUGACAGAGAGUAAAAAUGUGUUUUCAUGGGGCAGAGGUACUAAUGGUCAGCUUGGACAUGGGGAUACUCUUGACAGGAAUACACCAAAGAUCAUUGAGGUUUUGAGCUCCGAUGGUUCAAGCUGCAGCCAGAUACCAUCCUCUAGAGCAGAUCCACUACAAGGUUUGUGAGCUCAUGCCAUUUCCUGUCAAGAAGAAUAUUAGAGAAAUUUCUA
Molecule: long non-coding RNA, 416 nt
Organism: Dendrobium catenatum
Lineage: Eukaryota; Viridiplantae; Streptophyta; Magnoliopsida; Asparagales; Orchidaceae
Exons: 3
Source: RefSeq, a predicted model, not a curated record